CAGUAGCCGCGGUAAUACGUAGGUGGCAAGCGUUGUCCGGAAUUAUUGGGCGUAAAGGGCUCGCAGGCGGUUUAAUAAGUCUGAUGUGAAAGCCCACGGCUCAACCGUGGAGGGUCAUUGGAAACUGUUAAACUUGAGUGCAGGAGGGAAAAGUGGAAUUCCUAGUGUAGCGGUGAAAUGCGUAGAGAUUAGGAGGAACACCAGUGGCGAAGGCGGCUUUUUGGCCUGUAACUGACACUGGGGCGCGAAAGCGUGGGGAGCAAACAGGGUUAGAUACCCCCGUAGUCCCUGUCUCUUAUAC
RNAcentral lists this ribosomal RNA (301 nucleotides) under uncultured bacterium. Its description in RNAcentral is "partial 16S ribosomal RNA". It matches the Rfam family "Bacterial small subunit ribosomal RNA", at positions 509 to 807 of the family's 1533-position model. The record is from RNAcentral.